RNAcentral lists this ribosomal RNA (253 nucleotides) under uncultured bacterium. RNAcentral's name for it is "partial 16S ribosomal RNA". It matches the Rfam family "Bacterial small subunit ribosomal RNA", at positions 524 to 776 of the family's 1533-position model. The record is from RNAcentral.
UACGUAGGGUCCGAGCGUUAAUCGGAAUUACUGGGCGUAAAGUGUGCGCAGGCGGCCGAGCAAGUCGAGUGUGAAAGCCCCGAGCUUAACUUGGGAACUGCGCUCGAAACUACUUGGCUAGAGUGUGGCAGAGGGAGGUGGAAUUCCACGUGUAGCGGUGAAAUGCGUAGAGAUGUGGAGGAACACCAAUGGCGAAGGCAGCUCGCUGGGACGGUACUGACGCUGAGGCGCGAAAGCGUGGGGAGCAAACAGG